CCCAUCGCCAUAAUACAUGCAGCGUCUAGCGAACAUAGGCCGGCCAUCAAAAAUAAAAUUGCAAAAGCCCAGCACGAUAACAUUGAAAGAUACAACCCGAAUAGGCGGGGUAUUUGAAGUAGCGAAAAGGAUUGUUCUUGCGAUCCUAUUAGUAUUAGGGACAGUACAUGGUCAGAUUAUCUACUACUCCCACUCCAACUAUAUCCCGGUAAUUGACCGAAAGGUACUGAUAUGAUUGACACCCUGUCGAAACUCCCAUAGUUAGCUUUACAAAGCGUAUAACACAAGUCGAUGACGGAAUUAUUUUUAUCAUCGAGAGCACUGCGAAAGUUAGCACAGACGAUUGUUCGGAGAUUACUACAAACGGGACACAACUCGUCAUCUUUCUCUCUUCUACCACAAUCAACGGCACCAAAUAUGUAAAUCGGCGUAAAAUCGGCGCAGAUCACCAGGAGUAGCUGGGUCGCCUCUACUUAACAUCAUCAGCCACGAUCCAAUGCUAAGCACGCCCCAACUCCAGAGGAUGAACAAUACAAUCUGCUCAUUCAUUCACCAUUGAAAUUUUCAAGGACGAGUUGGAGGCCGCCGGAUCACACAAGGUUUAUUUGGCUUUAUCAUCGUUUGCAAAUCAUAUAAAGAAGACAAACAUCGAAGGAAAUUCGGAAGGCCAUUAUCAACUACAAAAUAACCGAAGACGGUCAUGAGCUUGAGUGACACCGCUUACGCGAUUAUAGCCGAGUUAACAACAGCGCG
Bactrocera tryoni is the source of this 753-nucleotide long non-coding RNA. RefSeq lists it as uncharacterized. The transcript is spliced from 3 exons. The record is from RefSeq and is a predicted model, not a curated record. NCBI's taxonomy places the organism in Eukaryota, Metazoa, Arthropoda, Insecta, Diptera, Tephritidae.